Vigna angularis (adzuki bean) is the source of this 411-nucleotide long non-coding RNA. RefSeq lists it as uncharacterized. Lineage: Eukaryota; Viridiplantae; Streptophyta; Magnoliopsida; Fabales; Fabaceae. The record is from RefSeq and is a predicted model, not a curated record. The transcript is spliced from 3 exons.
CUCAUCAUUCUUCUUCUCCGAUCAUCAUUCAGGCACCAGUUCUACACUCCCGGCGUAGAGGACGAUCGUUUGAACCGAUCAGUUUAAGAUUCUCAACUGUUUGUAGAGGGUGUUGUUGUUCGUUGAGACCUCUGUUAGAAGAAGAACCCUAGCAUAUAUCUGAGAACGUGCGUUCACUUUAAGAGAUGGUGAGGCGUUGCUUGAGGAAACGCUGGAAGAAGAAAAUUUGGAGGAUGCAAAUCUCGUGGAAGUUGAAGUGAAGGCCGAACAGUAGUACGUUCGGUUAUCUGUUAGUUUAGUAUAUUAGAAUACCGUAUUUUUGAACGACCCUUUUUUUUUAUUAUUAUUUGACCGUUCGGUAUUUCCGUUUUGUAAACCGUUCGGUCAGGUAUGCUUGGGUCGUACUUUGUU